AACGCGAAGAACCUUACCUGGGCUCGAAUGCAGGAGACCGGGUAGAAUAUCCUUUCCCGCAAGGGCUGCUGUAUAGGUGCUGCAUGGCUGUCGUCAGCUCGUGUCGUGAGAUGUUGGGUUAAGUCCCGCAACGAGCGCAACCCUCAUCCCUAGUUGCCAUCAGGUCAAGCUGGGCACUCUAGUGAAACCGCCCCGGAUAACGGGGAGGAAGGUGGGGAUGACGUCAAGUCCUCAUGGCCUUUAUGUCCAGGGCUACACACGUGCUACAAUGGUCGGUACAAACCGUCGCAAAACUGCAAAGUGGAGCUAAUCGGAAAAAGCCGGCCUCAGUUCGGAUUAGAGUCUGCAACUCGACUCUAUGAAGCUGGAAUCGCUAGUAAUCGCGGAUCAGAAUGCCGCGGUGAAUACGUUCCCGGGCCUUGUACACACCGAGACGAC
Molecule: ribosomal RNA, 438 nt
Filed under: uncultured bacterium
Lineage: Bacteria
Description: bacterial SSU rRNA
Rfam family: Bacterial small subunit ribosomal RNA
Source: RNAcentral